GACGAACGCUGGCGGCGUGCCUAAUACAUGCAAGUAGAACGCACAGUUUAUACCGUAGCUUGCUACACCAUAAACUGUGAGUUGCGAACGGGUGAGUAACGCGUAGGUAACCUGCCUGGUAGCGGGGGAUAACUAUUGGAAACGAUAGCUAAUACCGCAUAAUAUUGAUUAUUGCAUGAUAAUUGAUUGAAAGAUGCUAUUGCAUCACUACCAGAUGGACCUGCGUUGUAUUAGCUAGUAGGUGAGGUAACGGCUCACCUAGGCGACGAUACAUAGCCGACCUGAGAGGGUGAUCGGCCACACUGGGACUGAGACACGGCCCAGACUCCUACGGGAGGCAGCAGUAGGGAAUCUUCGGCAAUGGACGAAAGUCUGACCGAGCAACGCCGCGUGAGUGAAGAAGGUGUUCGGAUCGUAAAGCUCUGUUGUAAGAGAAGAACGGGUGUGAGAGUGGAAAGUUCACACUGUGACGGUAUCUUACCAGAAGGGGACGGCUAACUACGU
RNAcentral lists this ribosomal RNA (504 nucleotides) under uncultured bacterium. RNAcentral's name for it is "partial 16S ribosomal RNA". It matches the Rfam family "Bacterial small subunit ribosomal RNA", at positions 28 to 506 of the family's 1533-position model. The record is from RNAcentral.